GCCCCUGUCGUCUAAUUGGUUAAGACACCAGGUUUUCAUCCUGGAGAUUUGCCGGUUCGAGCCCGGUCAGGGGUA
Molecule: transfer RNA, 75 nt
Filed under: marine sediment metagenome
Description: tRNA-Glu
Rfam family: tRNA
About the family: Transfer RNA (tRNA) molecules are approximately 80 nucleotides in length. Their secondary structure includes four short double-helical elements and three loops (D, anti-codon, and T loops).
Source: RNAcentral